RNAcentral lists this ribosomal RNA (327 nucleotides) under uncultured eukaryote. RNAcentral's name for it is "partial 18S ribosomal RNA". It matches the Rfam family "Eukaryotic small subunit ribosomal RNA", at positions 1470 to 1796 of the family's 1831-position model. The record is from RNAcentral.
CCCUUAGAUGUUCUGGGCCGCACGCGCGCUACACUGAUGCACUCAACGAGUCUCGCCUUGACCGAAAGGUCCGGGAAACCUUCGAACUUGCAUCGUGAUGGGGAUAGAUUAUUGCAACUAUUAAUCUUCAACGAGGAAUACCUAGUAAGCGCAUGUCAUCAGCGUGCGUUGAUUACGUCCCUGCCCUUUGUACACACCGCCCGUCGCUCCUACCGAUUGAAUGAUCCGGUGAGCUUUUUGGACAGUGGCAUCGGUAGUGGUUCGCCACUCUGACGCUGCGGGAAGAUGCGCAAACCUUAUCAUUUAGAGGAAGGAGAANUCGUANCA